Non-coding RNA from Pholiota molesta, 104 nucleotides. The record is from the annotation of a GenBank genome assembly. NCBI's taxonomy places the organism in Eukaryota, Fungi, Basidiomycota, Agaricomycetes, Agaricales, Strophariaceae.
GGCAACGUGGCCGAGUGGUCUAAGGCGCUGGAAUUAGGCAAUGCUCAUCUGAGUAGCUUUCUAUCCAGUCCGAAAGGGCGCGAGUUCGAACCUCGCCGUUGUCA